Molecule: long non-coding RNA, 1428 nt
Organism: Paramacrobiotus metropolitanus
Lineage: Eukaryota; Metazoa; Tardigrada; Eutardigrada; Parachela; Macrobiotidae
Exons: 6
Source: RefSeq, a predicted model, not a curated record
CCGUGCAAGUGGUUGUUUACAUUCUUUUACCGCAUGGAGCGGCAUUGGCACAUUAGCGCAACUGGCUCGUCAGCGAUGGUGCUGCAUACCAUGCGCGUCUCUUAUUGAUUGAAAACACUUAUAGUAAUGCUGCGCACUUAUAAUAUACAAAUUAUUUGUCAACUUAUCGAGUAGUUUAAUUGCUUAACUGGAUUGUGCACGGCUUAUAUAUAAUUGUGAAACUUGACAUGCGCCCAAUGGUUGGAGUACUGUACGGAUGGAUGGAUGGUACUGUACUAUAUGGAUACUACUGUACACUGUACAGUUAUAUUGGUUUACUUUCACUGCUUGAUUCAACAAGUUGUUUACAUUCUUUUACACUAUGGAGGAGCACUUUAACGCAUCUGGCUCGUCAAAGCCUUUCAACGCAUAUCUACUGCGUGCAUGCUUAUGCGUGCGUGCAGAUCAACUGGAAAAAAGUCCGCCAGGGUCGCUGCAAAAUUUUUUCCACUGGAGCCAAAGCCACAUUUCUGUUAACGAUUACUCCGCUAAUUGCAGAAUUUAUGAAUUUCUUGUACACGAAUUUCGGGGCUGCUAUAAACUACGAGGGUUUGAGUGGAAAAAGUUGGCCUGAACUUCUCAAAGAAUUUUUCCACCUUGUCAACGAAUGGAAAAUCAUCGCCGUACAACCUUGAAGCCGGACUCGCAUGGCCGGAAAUAUUUCAGUUUCCGGUAAUAGUGAUCCAAUAACGCGAGAGCAUCACUGAUGGACUUUGCACCAUUAACUGUGAUCUUGCCGUUGCGGUACACUUGGCAGUGCGAUUUGUAAGGACGAAUGGAACGGAGAAGAAGCCCGGAAAAUUUAUGUGGUGCAUAAUGAGCAAGCGGAGCGCGUUCGGAUAAGCUGGGUCGUUCACCAAUAAGCUCCAGCAUAUCCUGAAUCGCCCUGGCGAUGUCCAAGUAUAAAUAAUCUCCACGAUUAUGCCAGACAAGUCCGUGUGAGUGACGCGAUUGGCUCCUAAAUUCAACGCGGUAACGAUUAAAGUGGGAUGGAAUGGUGAAUGUGUAGCACCUGCUAACACUAGUUGGGCAAUCACAAAAUGCCAGCUGUUUUAUAAGCCGUUGGGAGCCAGCGAUAAACCAAUCAAUAUCUAAGACAACCCUCCGCUUUGAAGUCUCCAUUCUGUUAUCGGUACGCUAGCAAUAGCUCCGCCCUUUGGAAAUGGAUUCCUUAAAUAGGUAUCCGCGCACGACAGCUGAUUUGAGAUUCCGACUACCCGCUUCAGUCCUUGUUGUGGGGCCAACGACUUCGGGGAAAACGACAUAUGUGUCAAAAUUAAUUAUGGAGCGCGAUAAAUUAUUUGACCAACCAUUUGGACGAAUUAUUUUGGUGUACGGAGAAAUGCAGCCAGCCUACGAAGUGCUUCAGCGCAAAGUCCCUUGGAUUGA